AAUAGGUUAGUAGAAAGCAUACGUUUGGUUUAGAGCCAAAAAAUGGGGGUCGCCCCCACCUAUUA
RNAcentral lists this transfer RNA (65 nucleotides) under Spathoderma clenchi. RNAcentral describes it as "tRNA-Leu". Lineage: Eukaryota; Metazoa; Mollusca; Caudofoveata; Chaetodermatida; Prochaetodermatidae. The record is from RNAcentral.